CUUUUAGCUGCAAUACCAAACGGCUUACAAAUGCGAAAGCAUCCAACUCUAUGUCGAAGCUUUGUAAUGGAAUUUCAACGAGCACUGGACGACACACCAUCUGAUUAUACACGGCAGCAAAAUUUUCUUACAGAUUUGCUUUCUAGGGUUUUGGAUCUCGAAAGGAAGAGACAUGGCCUCUUUUGGCUCUUUGAAACCUGCAAUUUUCGAAAGAGAAGAGAUAAAACAGAAAUAUCAAUCUCAUAUUCGAGGCCUCAACGUUUGCGAUCGCCACAAUAAAUUUUUGAACGAUUACGUUAGUUUUAUGGGAAAGGAAAAUCUACCAAUGAAAAGCUGCUGAUUGAAAUGGACAGAAACGCCCUAAGAGAAGGAUACCGGUAUGUUGAUUCUCUUAUGAUUUUUUUUUUUAUCUUGUUGCGUUUGCCUAGUUAUCAAUCAUUUCAAGGAGGUGAGCGCCAGUUAGGAAUUAUUUGGCACAAGCUGGUUGGCAUAUCUUUUAAUUUCUCAUGUAAUAACUGGCAAUCAGGUGUGUAAAUAAGGAGUCUGUGGCCCAAUUUAGUGUUAGAACAAGAAAGGGCAGGGAAAAAAACAUAGAUUCUUAUUCAACAAGAGGGCAUCCAGUGGCCAGUUAAGUGAUGGGGAUGAUAUGUUUCCAUCCAGCCACAUGCGUUUAAGUUUAAUUCACUGUUAGUUGUAUUUAUCCUGUGUUUCCUUUCAUGCUCAAUCAACACUGAAUCGUUUUCAAUCAUGAAUCCUAUUCCAUGACACUCUUGACGGUGGAAAUUUACUCCUAUAUGGCCAAUCUGUCCUCUUCUGUAAUGCUAGACUCUGCAAUUUUCAUCUGUCACCUCUCUUUGAUUUUUUAAGGCUCGUACGUUCAGAGGAAGAUGAUAUGGAUACAUCCUGGGAGCAAAGGCUAGUGAAGCGUUUUUAUGAUAAGCUUUUAAAGAGCAUCCUUUGUGAAUGGAUGUUGUUCAAUGGUCUGAACAGUAUUGUUACUCCUACAUCUGAAAUUCACUUCAAUAUACCGUGAACUUUAACUUUUUGAAGAUAAUGCAUAGCUGACAUGUCACUCUACAACAUUGGCAAGGUGUGUGGUUUCCCAUUGCAUAAAGCUGUUUAAUCUCAGCUGUAAUGACUUGAAAUGGUCACUCUGAUGAUCUUAAGAGUGUAUUUCUUUGUUUCCCCAGAAGAAUCAAAGUAAAGUAACCGCGAAAUAUGAGUUGUAGAUUGGGUUUUCCUCUUCUGAGAUUGCACAUUCUUUUCUUCUGUCUCAUUA
Molecule: long non-coding RNA, 1279 nt
Organism: Populus trichocarpa (black cottonwood)
Lineage: Eukaryota; Viridiplantae; Streptophyta; Magnoliopsida; Malpighiales; Salicaceae
Exons: 3
Source: RefSeq, a predicted model, not a curated record